This 443-nucleotide ribosomal RNA is filed under the name uncultured bacterium. RNAcentral's name for it is "partial 16S ribosomal RNA". It matches the Rfam family "Bacterial small subunit ribosomal RNA", at positions 338 to 795 of the family's 1533-position model. The record is from RNAcentral.
CCUACGGGAGGCAGCAGUGGGGAAUAUUGGGCAAUGGGCGCAAGCCUGACCCAGCAACGCCGCGUGAAGGAAGAAGGCUUUCGGGUUGUAAACUUCUUUUCUCAGGGACGAAGAAAGUGACGGUACCUGAGGAAUAAGCCACGGCUAACUACGUGCCAGCAGCCGCGGUAAUACGUAGGUGGCAAGCGUUAUCCGGAUUUAUUGGGUGUAAAGGGCGUGUAGGCGGGAGCGCAAGUCAGAUGUGAAAACUCAGGGCUCAACCCUGAGCCUGCAUUUGAAACUGUGUUUCUGGAGUGCAGGAGGGGCAGGCGGAAUUCCUGGUGUAGCGGUGAAAUGCGUAGAUAUCAGGAGGAACACCGGUGGCGAAGGCGGCCUGCUGGACUGCAACUGACGUUGAGGCCCGAAAGCGUGGGGAGCAAACAGGAUUAGAUACCCUGGUAGUC